CCCUGAAGGAACGUUUAAGACUAAGACGUUGAUAGGCUGGGUGUGUAAGUGCAGCGAUGCAUUGAGCUAACCAGUACUAAUGAUCCGUGAGGCUUAACCUU
Molecule: ribosomal RNA, 101 nt
Filed under: Serratia liquefaciens
Lineage: Bacteria; Pseudomonadati; Pseudomonadota; Gammaproteobacteria; Enterobacterales; Yersiniaceae
Also listed under: 6 other names
Description: partial 23S ribosomal RNA
Rfam family: Bacterial large subunit ribosomal RNA
Source: RNAcentral